CCUACGGGUGGCAGCAGUGAGGAAUAUUGGUCAGUGGGCGAGAGCCUGAACCAGCCAAGUCGCGUGAGGGAGUACUGCCCUAUGGGUUGUAAACCUCUUUUGUCGGGGAGCAAAAGCCGGACGUGUCCGGCUGUGAGAGUACCCGCAGAAAAAGCAUCGGCUAACUCCGUGCCAGCAGCCGCGGUAAUACGGAGGAUGCGAGCGUUAUCCGGAUUUAUUGGGUUUAAAGGGUGCGCAGGCGGAUUUUUAAGUCAGCGGUAAAAUCGUGGGGCUCAACCCCAUCCAGCCGUUGAAACUGGGGAUCUAGAGUGUGCGAGAGGUAUGCGGAAUGCGUGGGGUAGCGGUGAAAUGCAUAGAUAUCACGCAGAACCCCGAUUGCGAAGGCAGCAUACCGGUGCACAACUGACGCUCAGGCACGAAAGCGUGGGUAUCGAACAGGAUUAGAUACCCUGGUAGUC
This 458-nucleotide ribosomal RNA is filed under the name uncultured bacterium. RNAcentral's name for it is "partial 16S ribosomal RNA". It matches the Rfam family "Bacterial small subunit ribosomal RNA", at positions 338 to 795 of the family's 1533-position model. The record is from RNAcentral.